This 253-nucleotide ribosomal RNA is filed under the name uncultured bacterium. Its description in RNAcentral is "partial 16S ribosomal RNA". It matches the Rfam family "Bacterial small subunit ribosomal RNA", at positions 524 to 776 of the family's 1533-position model. The record is from RNAcentral.
UACGUAGGUGGCAAGCGUUGUCCGGAUUUACUGGGCGUAAAGAGCGCGCAGGCGGUCGUUCAAGUCGCGUGUGAAAGCCCCCGGCUCAACUGGGGAGGGUCACGCGAUACUGAUCGACUCGAAGGCAGGAGAGGGUAGUGGAAUUCCCGGUGUAGUGGUGAAAUGCGUAGAUAUCGGGAGGAACACCAGUGGCGAAGGCGACUUUCUGGUCUGUAACUGACACUGAGGCGCGAAAGCGUGGGGAGCAAACAGG